UAGCCAUGAUAUAUUAUCCUUCUAUAUGUUGCUGUAUUUGACUUGUAUAUAUGUGUAUUUUUUCAAACCAAAAACAGAAUGGUACUGUAUAUACUGAUUUGUAAUCUCUUUUUGAAAAAACAUAUUUUUUAAUCUAAAAGAAAUUCAUAGUUGUAAGAAAAGUUCUUUCUGAUUAUGCCAGUAGAUUUAUUUCUUCCCUGUGCUUUCUUAUAAUAGGGGAUUAGAUAGUUGCUAUGCAUAUUUUGGUUCAAGUUCAUUAAAUUCAAAAACUGGGAUGAGAAAUUUUCAACCCCCACACACCAACUCUUCUAAUUAGCUGAUAAACUCUGAAAUAAAUUAUUUGUAUCUUUGACAAAAUGUGAAGAGGAAACUGCUCUGAGUUUUGAAGGUCAUUAUAAAUGCUAAGAGGAAAGGGGUGAGCACCAAUCUUCGAAAUCCAGGCACUCACUCAUCAGAUGUCUGGUGAGUCCAAAAUCUCUGUCUUAUGAUGAUAACCUUAAGUAACAACCUUAAAUAUACAUCAGAUAGCUCUGAUAUUUGUAAAGAAAGUUUUCUUUCUUCCAUUAAAAAAUACUGUAUAGGUAGAUAUAGAUGUGUGUGUAUACACAAACACUCACACACACACACACAUACGGAGAGACAGCAUUAACAGUCUUUUGAAAACUUUUAUUUUGAAACAUUUUUUGUUGUGAGGUGUUUCUUCCCUGGACAAGUACAUCUUUUCUUUUCUUUUCUUUUUAUAUAGAUAUAUGAGUUUUCCCUACUCCAGAAACACGCAUUCAAGAUUGAUUCUCUCUAGGUACCCACUUAAGGCUUAUUUUUAGAAUUCCAGCAAUCUAAUUUUUUUUUUACCUCCAACUUUUAUUUUGGAAAAGGCAAUCUACUUAUUCUUCACAUCCUCAUAAGGAAAUGGACAUUGCUUUAUUUUAUAUGUGAGCCAGAGCUCGAGAUAAUGAUAAAUCUUGCCAGAGGCCUCAAGGAUACUAAGCAUGAACUCUGGGAAAAAAAUUUGUGUUUGUUUUGUUUUUGGAGGGUGUCCCUCAUUCCCAGCCUUGGGUUAAGAUGAUUCUGCUUUUCUCAAAAUGUUUGAAUGACAGGAUGAACUUCAAUGUUUGCAUCAUUUCCCCUGUUUUAUACUCUCCUCGCAUAGACCACAGCUGAGAGUUUUAGAGAAAAGGCGCUUUCGGCAAGUGCAAAGUGGUAUUGUCAUGUUGCUACUGGAGCUGUCUGUGACAGCCAAGAAAAUAGGACAGAAUCAAAAGGAAGUAAAAUAAGUCAUAGUGAAACCUUCUCCCUUAGAGGAAGGAAAGCAAACAUUGAAAUAUUGCUUUUUUUCUUGGCUACUUAUUAAAGGGGAGAUUUGCCUGCUGUGCUGGAAGAGUCUUUUAUUCAUCGUUUUGUUGAUGGGAGGUAUCCAACUUGAGUGUGUUUGAAGAAGCAAAUUAGUGGCUUCUGGGAAGGUAUUAAUAAGUCACAGAGCAAAGAGGAAUAUUUCAAGGGAGGUAAAUAUAUAUACAAUUUUCUGACGGUACAACAAGUUCACUUUGUGGUUUUCCUCAUUGAUUUAGAACUAUGUAUUUUUUGCAUCAGUGGCCUUCCUUCUCAUUUAUAACUUGUGACUUCAUUUGUGUGACUCAUUUCAUUAAGUUUGUCUCCAUGAACACUAACCACCCAAUAUGCCAUACUGUGAGCAUUUUUCUCUAAGAUAUAAAUCAGCAAUUCUUAACCUGUGCUUUUAACAUCCAGUGGUAUAUUAAUAUAAAUCAAGGGGUAUCUUUAGUUUUUUAAAAACAAGCUCAAAAUAGCUUUAAACUUCAAGAUACUAUUGAAAAUUAGAACGAAUUAUUAUGCAAAAACUUGAUUUUUUUUGCCUUUUUAAAUUUUUUUUAUUUCAUGCAGGAUUUUGUUUUUUGUUUCUUAAGAUGAACAAAAACUUGAUUUUUAAGAUUGGAAAUACCAUAUACUUGAAACAUUCUUAGUUACAGGUGCAACUACCCGAUUGAGGAAAUCCAUUGCUAAGCAAACAACGGAAUUGCCUUAAUGAUAUAAUUUAAGUUAUAUCUGCUUCCAUCUUUGGAUUCCCAUUUCCUUCUCCCAAAUGCAUGAUAUUUGGAAGCACUUUGUUGAUAUUACAAAUUUAUAAAUAAAGUAGACUUUGCUUCUUACAUGUCACCAUUGAGAUGUUUAGGCUCUAUAGAUUGUUAUUUAAAAAUUUGGCUUACUUCAGCCAAAUAAAAUCAUAGGUGUAUGAAAUGCUUAAUUUUACAUGUGAGGAAAAAAAGCCCACCAAAUUCAAAUAAAUUAUUUGAGUUUUCCCAACUUGUUAGCAACAGAGUUUUACCUAGAACCCUAGGCUUCUUUACGCCAGUGUUGUAUUUUUUUCAGCUACACUAGACUAUCAAAUUGACAAAGCUUCAUAUACAUUAGAAUGAAGUGGUUGAGGCAAAGGAAUGGUAAAUUGAGAAUUCACAAUUUGGGGUAAGGUCAAAGUAUGAUCUGAGGAUCGCCUUUGUUAAUCACAUGGAUGCUUUCUGAAAAUGUAGAUUCCUAGACUCUUCCUAGGUUCCCAGACAGAUUGAAUCUCAAUCUCCAUGGGUGGGACCCAGGAAUAUGCCAUUUAAACAAGUUCUCUAGAUAACUUUUAUGUACACUAAGGUUUACAUUCCAUAGGCCAAUGAUAUCCUAUAUAUUCCUCUAGAAUGUUAUUUAAUAUGUUUUAAACUGAGGUGUUAACAUUUUCCCAUUUGGGGAAUUUGUACUGUUUUGCACUAGAUUCUAAGGACUGGUACAGAGGAGACCUAUGGUGAAAGUGAAGGGCAUUGAAUCUGGGUUCCAUUCCAGGCUAACCUUGCUAUGUGGGCCUGGGCAACUUACUUACUGAACACUCUAAGUCUUCAAUUUUUCUUCUUCGAAAUAACUAUAAUGCCACCCUUGCAGAACUGCUGAGAGAUCAUAGAAAUAAAAUACUGUGCAGGCACUGGGCCUGGCCUAUUAAAAGCAUGCAACUACUAAUUACUGUCAUUACCUAAGCUAACAUAACUAUUAUUUUCCUCUUCCCUUACCUUGUAAAGUGGAAAUACACUGAAUUCCUCAUUGUUUCAGACCUAGCAACUAUUUGUGGAUUAUUCCUAUCUUUCGCUCCUCCUCCUCACCUCUGUGGCUUCCUGCCUACCUCUUGGCCAUUUCAUUGUUCAUUAGUCACCUCCACCAGAAGGAGGAAAGAGAAAAUAAGAAAUGCAACUCAAAACAUCCAUUUUCUUCAUAUGUUAUUACUCUUAGUAAAAGAUUUGAUUUGAAGUGAUGUGGCUGAAUCACUGGCCAAAAUAACAUUUUUGUGUUUUCUAAGAGUUUAAUUUACCUAUUUUUUAGACAGUUUCCAUUCCGGCUCUUAUAAUGAAAUAUCCUUGCUUAAAAACAGUGAUUUUAAUCAACACUGCAUAAGAAAAGGAUAUACUAAAUGAAUCAUUUUGAAUCUUGUUUCCUUCCUCAAUUUUUAGGGGAACUGAGAAGAUUUGGUUGAAUAAAGCUCAUUAAGAUCCUACAGAGAUGGAAUCUGAGUAUGAAGUAGGUCAAAUUCAGUCUCCCUGAUAGUGCCCUUCAGGCAUUGCCAACGUGGGCUUCUCGCUCAGCAGAGGUGGGUUGUGUGUGGAUGGAUUCCUAGACUGCAGCAUGGGCUCUAACCUAAUGAGAAGGUGCCUACACAGGGCCUGCAGCCAGAAGUCCUGAUUUUCACGUAAAAUGCCCUCAGUUCCUUCAAAUCUUCAGAUUUUUCCUCAGGUAAAGCUUUGUAUCCUAGGUGCUUGGUAUUAGGCAUCUGCUUGUUGGAAAGUAAGAGAGCCACAUCCGCAACUGCAAGAGUUGGGAGACUCCAGCGGCAGUAACAACCCAGGGGAUCACACAAAGGAGGUUGGAACUCUACCCUGGUUUGACUGAUCCCUCAAAUACAUUCAGAUGUCAUCAUAAAGAAGCUUUAGCUUCAUAAAGAAGGAAGACAAAGGAAAAAUUGUGCCACUUCUGUUAAUUUAAUCAGAAAGUUUUAAUGAUGUCUUAUUACUUGGGUUUUUAUCAUAAUGAUUUGUUUUAAUGCUGAGUUCAGUUUCAGUUUUAUAUUUGUUCUAUCUUGUGCAACGUCCAAGGAUAAUUUAACUAUUCAAAUGAAGUAGUCCCUUAAAAAAUUAUCCCAUGGCAUGGAUUUGAAGAGGCAGGCAAAAAUGGAAUAAAGUACUUUUCAGUAGAUUAGACAAUUGCAAUCCAGUUCUAUUGAAGCCCCACGACAGGAUUGCUGCUAAAUUUGAUGUAUAUUUUCUGUUUUUUUGUUUGUUUGGUUGGCUGGUUGGUUUUUGUUUUUGAGACAGAGUCUU
Molecule: long non-coding RNA, 4361 nt
Organism: Homo sapiens (human)
Lineage: Eukaryota; Metazoa; Chordata; Mammalia; Primates; Hominidae
Exons: 3
Source: RefSeq, a predicted model, not a curated record